Molecule: long non-coding RNA, 221 nt
Filed under: Carica papaya (papaya)
Lineage: Eukaryota; Viridiplantae; Streptophyta; Magnoliopsida; Brassicales; Caricaceae
Description: long non-coding RNA (CPAP_LNC001583)
Source: RNAcentral
AUGAUCAACUAACGUGAUAAAAGAUGGCACAUAUACUCUAGUGUUUAGAAUCUUUAAACUCUCAACAAACCCUCCCUACUUAACCUACAUUCAACACAUGAAUGUCAACUAAGGUAAUUGGAAUGAUGACUUGAAUUGAUUAAAUGCCACAAGAUGAAAACUUGAUAAGUUAAAUAAAUUUAAGAAGGAUUGAUAAAAUACCACAAGAACUUAUCUUGAUA